AUCUGCUGUUUUCAUGUCUGGCCGGAGGUCUGAGGUGCCCCGUUUCCCGGAGUUGACGCCCCUCCCCUGCUGCCCUGUGGGGUGGGAGCGCAGGUGCCGGUUUCUGUCCCAGAUGGAGGUUUGUUUGUAAAAACAAUGGUGUGUUGUUUGAAAACCAGCUGCUUCAAAUUGGACUUAAGUCUGAAUUUCGGCAGAAUUUAGGUCGGAUGUUUAUCUUUUAUGGUAAUAAGACCUCCACGCAGUUCCUAAACUUUACCCCAACACUAAUCUGUUCAGACGACCUUCAGCCUAACCUGAACCUGCAGACCAAGCCCGUGGACCCGACCGUGGAGGGGGGCGCGCAGGUGCAGCAGGUGGUCAACAUAGAGUGCGUGUCCGACUUCACGGAGGCGCCAGUCCUCAACAUUCAGUUCAGGUAUGGGGGCACCUUCCAGAACGUGUCUGUGCAGCUGCCCAUCACUCUCAACAAAUUCUUCCAGCCGACAGAAAUGGCGUCUCAGGAUUUCUUUCAACGUUGGAAGCAGUUGAGCAAUCCACAGCAGGAAGUGCAGAACAUCUUCAAAGCAAAGCA
This 571-nucleotide small RNA is filed under the name Pan troglodytes (chimpanzee). RNAcentral's name for it is "processed transcript". The record is from RNAcentral. Lineage: Eukaryota; Metazoa; Chordata; Mammalia; Primates; Hominidae.